AGGAAAACCAUAUAAAUUGGUGAGCCGGUCGCGGUGGCUUACGCCAAUAAUCCCAGCACGUUGGGAGACCAAAGGUAAAAAAAUGUUGGGAAAUCCUACCUCAGGCUCCACCAUGGCCCAGACUGCGUCUCUAGCUGAAGGGAUACAAAUCCCAAUAAAUCUCCAACUUCCCUUAAGCAUACAGAAGGCUUCCCUACACGUUUUUGUGACAAACUGAAAAUUGGUUGAUAAUAUGAGUAUUUCUUUCACAUGAGAAUAAGAUGCAGAACAGACUCUCGCAUAUUCUACCACCCCAGUCCCCUACCCCAUUCUGGUUGCUUGAUUCUUAAAGUCUGGAUAAAUAACUGACUUUAGUCUAUUAAUUUAACUAUUAUCAUCUAAGCUUUACGUACUCUUAGCUUACAACCAAGUGUCUUUAAAUCUGUUUUUUCAAUAAAAACUAAGGCAAAAAGUUCACACAGAAA
Molecule: long non-coding RNA, 464 nt
Organism: Carlito syrichta (Philippine tarsier)
Lineage: Eukaryota; Metazoa; Chordata; Mammalia; Primates; Tarsiidae
Exons: 2
Source: RefSeq, a predicted model, not a curated record